RNAcentral lists this ribosomal RNA (253 nucleotides) under uncultured bacterium. Its description in RNAcentral is "partial 16S ribosomal RNA". It matches the Rfam family "Bacterial small subunit ribosomal RNA", at positions 524 to 776 of the family's 1533-position model. The record is from RNAcentral.
UACGUAGGGUGCAAGCGUUAAUCGGAAUUACUGGGCGUAAAGCGUGCGCAGGCGGCUUUGCAAGACAGAUGUGAAAUCCCCGGGCUCAACCUGGGAACCGCAUUUGUGACUGCAGGGCUAGAGUACGGUAGAGGGGGAUGGAAUUCCGCGUGUAGCAGUGAAAUGCGUAGAUAUGCGGAGGAACACCGAUGGCGAAGGCAAUCCCCUGGACCUGUACUGACGCUCAUGCACGAAAGCGUGGGGGGCGAACAGG